This 253-nucleotide ribosomal RNA is filed under the name uncultured bacterium. Its description in RNAcentral is "partial 16S ribosomal RNA". It matches the Rfam family "Bacterial small subunit ribosomal RNA", at positions 524 to 776 of the family's 1533-position model. The record is from RNAcentral.
UACGAAGGGGGCGAGCGUUGUUCGGAUUUACUGGGCGUAAAGGGCGCGUAGGCGGCCUUGUCAGUCAGGCGUGAAAGCCCCCGGCUCAACCGGGGAAUUGCGCCCUAAACUGGCGAGCUGGAGUGAGAUAGGGGUGUGUGGAACUUCCGGUGGAGCGGUGAAAUGUGUUGAUAUCGGAAGGAACGCCGGUGGCGAAAGCGACACACUGGAUCUUGUCUGACGCUGAGGCACGAAAGCCAGGGGAGCGAACGGG